GUUCUUCCGUUAGGACAAGUUGGACGAACAGCGCUGCAACUUCGAAUAUCCAGAACUCACAAGGAUGAAUCAAUAUCUCCAGAGAGGGUACUUCCGGAACUUGGUCCUCUUGCUCUUAGUAUUGAGCGUUGUCACCCUUGUAUACGAAAUUUCUGUGGAAAAACCUCACGUUCAAAGAAUAACGAGGUACAUCUCAGGGAUAAGACCAUAUGUGGAGGAGGAGCGAGUGUUGACGGCAAAGACAUUUGCAGGAGUAGCACAGGACGACCCAGCUCUGGUGAACUACAUCCGUCACAACCUCCUCCAGCCGCCCUCACAACUACCCUAUAACCUCGCCAACCCAGAGCGCCAGCAUUUCUCUGAAUUUGAUCAGUCCAGCUACGCCGAUAGUGAGAUAUUACAU
Procambarus clarkii (red swamp crayfish) is the source of this 403-nucleotide non-coding RNA. The record is from RefSeq and is a predicted model, not a curated record. Lineage: Eukaryota; Metazoa; Arthropoda; Malacostraca; Decapoda; Cambaridae.